AAGGAUCAUUACAGUAAAUUGCUGUAGACCUGAUGUCCUGGAUUAAAACUGUGGUAUGAAUAAGAUCUACCAUGUGGCCUGUAAUGGGGGCAUCCAGCAUCGCCUAACCAUGUUAACAUUAACUGAAGCGUAACCUUUGGCAGAUUUUAUUUUGCCAGUAGGAAGCAUUAAACUCUUUUUUAAUUAAGCUAAUAAAUCAAUAUUUAUCAGUCUGAAAAUAAGUUAAUUAUAUUAAAACUUUCAACAACGGAUCUCUUGGUUCUG
RNAcentral lists this unclassified non-coding RNA (264 nucleotides) under uncultured fungus. RNAcentral describes it as "partial contains 18S rRNA, ITS1, 5.8S rRNA, ITS2 and 28S rRNA". The record is from RNAcentral. Lineage: Eukaryota; Fungi.